Molecule: ribosomal RNA, 363 nt
Filed under: Triticum aestivum (bread wheat)
Lineage: Eukaryota; Viridiplantae; Streptophyta; Magnoliopsida; Poales; Poaceae
Description: partial small subunit ribosomal RNA
Source: RNAcentral
AUGGACGCCGCCACGUUGAACCCGCGCGCGUCGGCGAGGACGCGGGUGAUGUUGACGGCGGCGGGGGGGCGGGACUCGGAGGCCGCCAGGUCGAAGCCGGAGGGCGCGAUGAGGCCGUCCACGGCCAGCACGCUCAGGUUGUACGGCACGGAGGUGACGGAGCCGAGCACGGUGGCGUUGGACCCGGGGAAGGGCGCGGGCGAGCGGACGACGCCGAGGCCCGGCCCGGCGGCCGUGACGUUGACGGCGCCGAGGUCGGCGGAGGCGCGGCCGGUGGUCUGGAACAGCGUGGUGACCAGCUUCCCGGCGGCCGGGAGGCGGCGGAGGUCGGCGGGGGAGAGGUACUCGAGGAGGACGUGGUAG